This 428-nucleotide ribosomal RNA is filed under the name uncultured Pseudomonadota bacterium. Its description in RNAcentral is "bacterial SSU rRNA". It matches the Rfam family "Bacterial small subunit ribosomal RNA", at positions 355 to 774 of the family's 1533-position model. The record is from RNAcentral. Lineage: Bacteria; Pseudomonadati; Pseudomonadota.
UGGGGAAUAUUGGACAAUGGGGGCAACCCUGAUCCAGCAAUGCCGCGUGUGUGAAGAAGGCCUUCGGGUUGUAAAGCACUUUUGUUCGGGAAGAAAUCGUUGGUAUUAAUACCGCUAACGGAUGACGGUACCGAAAGAAUAAGCACCGGCUAACUUCGUGCCAGCAGCCGCGGUAAUACGAAGGGUGCAAGCGUUAAUCGGAAUUACUGGGCGUAAAGCGUGCGUAGACGGCACAUUAAGUCAGCUGUGAAACCCCCGGGCUCAACCUGGGACCUGCAGCUGAUACUGGUGAGCUUGGAGUUUGAGAGAGGGUGGUGGAAUUCCUGGUGUAGCGGUGAAAUGCGUAGAGAUCAGGAGGAACACUAGUGGCGAAGGCGGCCACCUGGCUUAAAACUGACGUUGAGGCACGAAAGCGUGGGGAGCAAACA